This 1293-nucleotide small RNA is filed under the name Histoplasma capsulatum var. duboisii H88. Its description in RNAcentral is "Histoplasma capsulatum H88 hypothetical RNA". Lineage: Eukaryota; Fungi; Ascomycota; Eurotiomycetes; Onygenales; Ajellomycetaceae. The record is from RNAcentral.
ACCGCCCAGGCUUCGCAUCCAGAUUGUCCUUGGCCCUGAAAAGAAAAGAAAAAGUCCAAACAAAAGUCAACCUGCAGCUCUCCCCCCUUCCCCCUCCAGCUGUUGCAUACGAGUACUAGGAUUGGCGGAACGGUGUCCAUGUCCCGCAUAUUCCUGUCAAGCUCCCUACAUACCCACCCACACUUGCAUUGUGUGCGCUAACUGCUGCAGCUCUACGCAGCACUGUGUCUUCGUGCCUCUCACUAACCACCUCGAUUGGACAGGGAAAACACGCCUGUGAGUUAAGGCGGAAAGCCUCGUCCUCGUCCCCGACAUGAUAGCCUAGCAUAGGCAGCUCUCGACCCUGGAUCGCUCCGCUCCCCGGAGUUGCUGGAUCAGACUUCGAAGAGGAAAAAGCAAAAUGGUCACAAGACGCGGUGGAGAAUUCCUUGUACAGCUCAGGAACUUGAAGGAAGACCCAACAGCAGUUGGCAAGUAAAAGUGCAAUUGACGCGAGCUGGCCCUUUGUUCCUCAUGCAUGAGUUAGUAUACUCCGCCUAUUCAAAAAGCAUAGCACACAUGGAAAGGCUUAUUGUGCAGAAAACCCCCCUCCAUAGCUUCGAGUAGGGCGUUCGUGGGCCCAAUGAAGGAGCGUUUGUAGAUGCCGGUAGACCAGACUUGCAUAUGCACAGAAUAUGCUGAGCUGUUUUUGAAACUCUCUGGCACGAUUCUGUCAAAUAACCAGGAAUACAGUACUCCGUAGAUGAGAUGGCGUCUGCAAAGCGGAGAUGUUUUGACAGAUCAACAUAUAUACAUAUAUUUACAGCUUCUUUUGAAUGUUUCUGUCAAUUGAUGCCCUGUAUAUACCCCCACCCAACUGCCUGUAAGCUCAGGAAUAUAGAGAACUAGUUUAUGUAGAGUCAUACACUCUACAUAAUUUCCAACUCAUAAGGAGGAAAAUCAAAAGAUGACAGCAAGACGCUACGUGCCUUUUCUACACAAGAUAUCUAGGUGCCUACGUGCACUCUAUAAUUGUACAGUACAUAAUGAUGCCCAAAAGAAAAGAAGCAAAACAUGGGGAGAGAAAUGAAUGAUUAUGGGAGCAGUGAGACGAAAAGAAAUCGAGAAGGGGAAACGGUGUUUAAGAGAGGUUUAUAGUUAAGGUAAUGUAGAGCAAAAUAUAGGCGGGCUCUGGGUGAAUGAAACCUGUCAGACCCGAAUCCCGAUCCCGCUCCGUAAAAUGAUCCAUAUUCUUCAUGCCAUAACUCGGUUGACGUAAGGAGGGUCCGACUGAGCUAAGUGAGAAGUGGCUGG